AUGAACGCUGGCGGCGUGCCUAAUACAUGCAAGUCGAGCGAACAGACGAGGAGCUUGCUCCUCUGACGUUAGCGGCGGACGGGUGAGUAACACGUGGAUAACCUACCUAUAAGACUGGGAUAACUUCGGGAAACCGGAGCUAAUACCGGAUAAUAUAUUGAACCGCAUGGUUCAAUAGUGAAAGACGGUUUUGCUGUCACUUAUAGAUGGAUCCGCGCCGCAUUAGCUAGUUGGUAAGGUAACGGCUUACCAAGGCGACGAUGCGUAGCCGACCUGAGAGGGUGAUCGGCCACACUGGAACUGAGACACGGUCCAGACUCCUACGGGAGGCAGCAGUAGGGAAUCUUCCGCAAUGGGCGAAAGCCUGACGGAGCAACGCCGCGUGAGUGAUGAAGGUCUUCGGAUCGUAAAACUCUGUUAUUAGGGAAGAACAAAUGUGUAAGUAACUAUGCACGUCUUGACGGUACCAAAUCAGAAAGCCACGGCUAACUACGUG
RNAcentral lists this ribosomal RNA (496 nucleotides) under uncultured bacterium. Its description in RNAcentral is "partial 16S ribosomal RNA". It matches the Rfam family "Bacterial small subunit ribosomal RNA", at positions 29 to 507 of the family's 1533-position model. The record is from RNAcentral.